Molecule: ribosomal RNA, 494 nt
Filed under: uncultured bacterium
Lineage: Bacteria
Description: SSU rRNA
Rfam family: Bacterial small subunit ribosomal RNA
Source: RNAcentral
AGGACGAACGCUGGCGGCGUGCUUAACACAUGCAAGUGGAGCGACGAACCAGGGCUUGCCCUGGGGCAGAGCCGCGAACGGGUGAGUAACACGUGGGUUACCUGCCUCGAUGACCGGGACAACCCGAGGAAACUCGGGCUAAUACCGGAUGUGCCCGCAAGGGGAAAGGAAGCUUCGGCCUCCGCAUCGAGAUGGGCCCGCGGCCCAUUAGCUUGUUGGUGAGGUAACGGCUCACCAAGGCUUCGAUGGGUAGCUGGUCUGAGAGGACGAUCAGCCACACUGGGACUGAGACACGGCCCAGACUCCUACGGGAGGCAGCAGUGGGGAAUCUUGCGCAAUGCGCGAAAGCGUGACGCAGCAACGCCGCGUGGGGGAAGAAGGCUUUCGGGUUGUAAACCCCUUUCAGUUGGACGAAGCUUCGUCGGUGAAUAGCCGGCCGGAGUGACGGUACCUUCACAAGAAGCACCGGCUAACUACGUGCCAGCAGCCGCGGU